This 253-nucleotide ribosomal RNA is filed under the name uncultured bacterium. RNAcentral describes it as "partial 16S ribosomal RNA". It matches the Rfam family "Bacterial small subunit ribosomal RNA", at positions 524 to 776 of the family's 1533-position model. The record is from RNAcentral.
UACAGAGGGGGCAAGCGUUAUUCGGAAUUAUUGGGCGUAAAGGGCGCGUAGGCGGCGAUUCAAGUGACGGGUGAAAUCCCUCGGCUUAACCGAGGAACUGCCUGUCAGACUGGGUUGCUUGAGACCGGGAGAGGCGAGUGGAAUUCCCAGUGUAGCGGUGAAAUGCGUAGAUAUCUGGAGGAACACCGGCGGCGAAGGCGGGUCUCUGGGCCGAUACUGACGCUGAGGAGCGAAAGCGUGGGGAGCAAACAGG